Rosa rugosa (rugosa rose) is the source of this 1239-nucleotide long non-coding RNA. RefSeq lists it as uncharacterized. The transcript is spliced from 4 exons. NCBI's taxonomy places the organism in Eukaryota, Viridiplantae, Streptophyta, Magnoliopsida, Rosales, Rosaceae. The record is from RefSeq and is a predicted model, not a curated record.
CACAUUUUAGACAAACUUAGACAGUCUCUCUAUUCUUCGACUCGACAGCCUCUCUAUUUUUCCCCUCAAUCACUCCCUAAAUCCUUACUCUAUUCUUUGAAAUCGAUGUCUUUGAAUCACCUAGCACCGAAAUCUCUUCUUCGAUUUCUCUAUAGCUCUGCCAACCACCAUUCUCAUCUCUCUCUCUUCCAAUUUUAAUUUUCCCUUUCUCCUUUUGUACCCUUAACCCUAAAUUUUCAAUCUCAAUCUAAUGGCCGAGGAUGAACAGAGUCGCCCUCCAAGAUAAUCAGGAAACCAAGACCGAAGUUAGAUUUUGAUUCUGGUUCCCCAUCUAUCUCUACCUUUCUCUUAGAUUUAGGGUUCUUAGUGUUCUGUUCUCUUAGAUUGUUCAUCUUCCUCUUUAGCGACAGAGGAGAUAGAGUGCCCCAGAUCCACUUUCUCUCUCCUCCUCGCUCUUAGAUUUAAACUAGGAUCAAUUGAAGAGAUGCAGAACAUGAAGGUGUCCGAGAUGGCGGAGGCGAACGUGCUGUACUGCACCGACGAGGCGACGCUGUGCUGGGCUAGUGAUAAGAAGGACUACAGCGUUGUGCUCAUCAUAUAGUGCCUCUUGUCGUCAUCGACGAUUUGCUGUCGAGGAGGGAAGGAGUCAUACCAGAGAUGUUCAUAUUAUCAUCUUUGUGUUUCUGAGGAGGAUUUGGAAACAACGUCGCUUGGGAUUUUUUACUUGUCUCCGGUGGUUAGGAAACUGGGACCAAAGAAUGCUUUGAUUCUUAAAACUACUGGAUAUUGGUUGUUCAUUGCUGCUAAUUUGAAGCCAACUUGAGAAAGCAUGUUUAUGAACUUAGGCAGUCAAUUUUCACUCGUGAUAAUGAAAGUUGUUCCCAGCAUAUAUUCCAGUGUUAGUGGCAUAUAAAGCUCAUGUUGUGGAGACUCUCCAAUUUUGAUUGGUUGUUGGGUUCAUCAUCAGCAAGGUCAUCAGAUCCCUUAUUUUGGACAUUGUUGGUGAACUAAGAAAGCGUAGAGACAAAUAAAUCCUAGAGAUGAAGAAGGGAUUGAAAGGUUUGCUUUUUUUUUUUUUACUCAAUUGGCUUAUCAUAAUUUGCAGCUAUUCAGCUCUGCUCUUUGUUGUAGAGAAUUGAAAAAAUUGUAUUGUAUUGUAUUCAUCUCACCAUAAGGUUUAUAUAGGGUUACAUCAUGUAUACAAAAGGCAAUACAUAAUAGCUAUACUAAUCACUCGCA